RNAcentral lists this long non-coding RNA (4760 nucleotides) under Amborella trichopoda. Its description in RNAcentral is "long non-coding RNA (ATRI_LNC002344)". The record is from RNAcentral. Lineage: Eukaryota; Viridiplantae; Streptophyta; Magnoliopsida; Amborellales; Amborellaceae.
UGGCUGAAAAAAUAAAGCUCGUGUUGCAGUUCCACCUUAUGCAUCAGUUUGAUUUUUUAUCCUAUGGAAUCAGUCAGAUUUGAUUUGAGCUUAUAGAUGUCAUAUUGGUUACCUGAGAUAUCUCUAUCGGCGAAACGAAGAAAUGUUUUUGUGCUUAGCUUUUUGAUUAGAUAAUUGAAUUGGUUUGCUGAACUCCUUUUUGCAUCUUACAGUUUUGUGCUCAUAGUUGAUUCUUCUCCAUUGUGUCUUCAUGUUUUUGUCUUGCAUUUGUUAAGUGGUUCUUAGUAAUCUGGAUGGGAUUUUCUACACGUCAAAGCAGAAGUGCAUGGAGAGGGAAGAUUAGCAGUAGGAAAGGAACAUUAGUGAUGAUUUUUAUGCAAAACAGUAAUUAAUUGAUGCCCCUUGUUACUUAUGAUUUCAAUGUGUGACUCAUUCCUGUUUUUGUUUUUUAAUGUUCCUAAUUCCCAAACUUAUUGAUUUCCACAAUAUCUAAAAACCAGAGCAUCCCACGUUCCUUAUAUAUGACUGGCUGUAACUAACACAUAUUAGGAAUGCACAGCAUGAUCUGUUAUGACAAUAGAUAAAAUUUGAGAUUUGUCAACAAUUAAAUAAUAGAAGAUAAUAAUGUUAACCUACUCAAAAAAAAAAAAAAGAGUCAGCUUAGUAAGUUAAACUAUGUAUGAGAAACAUGCGGUUUGGUGUUGAUGGGAGAUGGCAAACGCUAACAAGGGGUACUUUAGUAUUGAAGGUGUUAUUGCCAAGCUGUUUGGUUUUCUUCAUGUUGCUGGGAAAGAUGUCAUAUUGUUAUUUAGAACGAGUGAUUAGAAAGGUGGAAUCAGUGGGGACUUGCUAGGGUUCCAAUCCCAACUCACCUGGUCCAACUGGGGUGAGUUUGAGUCAGAGUAGGGAAUUUUUAAUGCGAAACUGAUGCAGGGAGAAAAUAAAACCAGAAAAAUAAUAAAUAAAAUUAAUAAACAAAACUACUAAAGAGAUAACCCAUUUAAAAAAUAAUGAAUAAAAUUGAAUUAUCUUUCUGAAUUUUCAUUUGCGUCAGAAACUUAAAAAAUAUUAAAAUUAGGGGGAUAGGCAAAAGUCCACCGGGCGACUCCGGUGUCACUCGAGCUGGCUCGGAUUAGAACAAGGUAAUUUUGCAAUGAAAAAUGUUGGAAUCGUCCUAGUCUCUCUCUCUCUUAAAUUUUGUUUUAAUUUCUUUGUUAAAAGUUCCCCCCCAACUCAGACUAGGUGACUCAUGAUUGGGACCCUAGCGAGUCUGUAGCUAAUUUCCAUCUUUUUAAUUACUGAUUUAGAAUGCGAAAAUAAGUUAGUAUUCCCUUAAGGAGUCUAAAAUGUGUAGGAUGUGCUUGUUUGGGACACCAAUUGUUAGUUGGUAUUCCCCUUGGGAACCCACAAAUGUCUUUUUUUAGAAUGUGGCAAACUUGCCCACAUUCAGCAAAUAGUUGAGAACAUCUUUAGACUCUUGGAUAAGCAUUUAUUUCCUCUAUUAUUAAAUCUCUCCACACUCACCUGUUGGAACUAAUAGACCCCUUAGAAUUGAGAAGCUGUUUCCCCAUUUCACUAAAGGAGUCUAUAGUAUGCUUAUGUGAAUCUAUUCACAGUUCUUCGUUCAUGUAUAUAGCAAACAAAGCAGAAUAGUCUAUCAUGUUUGGUUGCAUCCUAAAUCCAUGUUAUGACACUGAUUUUCUUGAAUUUACCAUUUUCUCAGUAUCAAAUAUGGACAUGGCAGUUAUUUUAAAGUGUCUACAUGUACAACCAUAUCUCCAGUAUGACAAGUAACCCUAGCCUGUUCUCCUUCACCUUCCCAUCACAAGAUGGAUGUAGGUAUUGUUAGGAUAUGGAUAUCUCGGGUUCAUAUUGAUAUACAUCAUUAUGGAUGUAUGGGUAUAUAUCUUUUGAUAAGAUUAGGUAUCUAGUUACUUGGUCAUCAAGUUAGUUUGGUGAUACGGCCUCGUACUGUUUAUCUCUAUCUCCAAGAAUCAUACCAUUUAUAAUUGUGUGAUUGUCCUUUAUAUAUAGAGGUACUUAUUGAUAUAAACAUUCAUUCAAAAUAGUGAAGAUGUAGCCAGUUGGGCUUUGGAUCUGUGGACGUAAGGCUUCCGCCUGAACCACGUAAAUGUUGUGUUGUCUCUUCUUCUCUCCCCAUGGCAUGUAUGCUCCCACAAAUUCUAAUAUAGUAUCAGAGUGAAGUAUUUUUCUCUUAAUGUAAUAGGGAUUAGUUUUUUUUUUUCCUGAUAGCUCAGUGGGGAAAGAUCCCUUUACCCUGGCGAUAGUAGGACUCGAGCCUGGGAUCCAGGUACCGCGAAUUAUAUCGCUUGACGUGCCGGCCAGUUUAUAGCUAGGCUUCUUGGCUAUAUAGUGAAGAAAGCUCAGGGAGUUGAGAAUCAAUCAGAGGAUCACGCUCCAAAUAUGAGGAAUCUCUCCACAACCCCAGUGAAUAAUCAGCACCAACUCCAACUUCUGAAGCAGGCCACAACUUGUGUUCUAUCAACCCAACUCUCUGGGGCACGUUAUUUAACAGUUGAAGCAGUGACGCUCUUUUCAAAAAGUGAAAUGACAUUGAUCAACCAGAAACUUGCGGAGGUGUCCCACAACUGCUUCAAGAGCUUUGAGAACCUUUGGUAACUCUCCUUGGAUUUCUGCAAUUCACAAACAGGCCUUCGAUCAUACCCUAGGCUUUCUUUACUGUAUAGGCAAGAAGCCUAGGUAUAAACUGGCCGGCACGUCGGGCAAUAUAAUUUGUGGUGCCUGGAUCCUAGGCUCGAGUCCUACCAACGCCAUGGUAAAGGAAUCUUUCCCCACUGAGUUAUAAAAAAAAAAAAACUAAUCUCUAUUACAUUAGGGAAACAAUACUUCGCUAUGAUACCAUGUUAGAAUUCGUGGGAGCAUACAUGCAAUGGGGAGAGAAGAAGAGAGAACACAACAUUUACGUGGUUUAGGCUGAAGCCUUACGUCCACGGAUCCAAAGCCCAACUGGCUACAUCUUCAAUAUUUUGGAUGAAUGUUUACAUCUAUAAGUACCUCUAUAUAUAGAAGACAAUUACAAGAGAUAAAUAUGAUAUGAUUCUUGGAUAUAGAGUUAAAUAGUAGUAGGCUUUAUCACCAAACUAACAUGAUGACCAAGUAACUAGAUACCUAAUCUUAUCAAGAGAUAUAUAUCUAUACAUCCAUAAUGAUGUAUAUCAAUAUGAACCCGAGAUAUCCAUAUCCUAACAGGUAUCGAUGGUUAAAAUGAAAAGGAAGAUGGAUAUUGGCUUUUGAUGUUGGUAUGCAUGUCUGUUAUGUGAUCCAAUGAUAUUCUUCAAAGCAGUUGUUGUUAUAUGGGGAAUUUAACCCCCAGAAGUAGGAAUUUUCUCAGGCCAGUGGUUCCACUCGCUCUCUCUCCACUCUGAAAUUGAUUCAAGAAAACUAAUAUGCAAAUGUUACAUAUUUCAGGCUCUUGGAUAUUUGUUAAUAGACUGCUCUCAUGAGUCAUGGGUUAAAAUCGUUUCCAAUAGUUGUUUAGUCCAAGAGGUAGCCUAUGAUUUGAAACGGUAUACCAGUAAAAUUCAAGAUCUUGAAAUACAUAGUAUUUGCAUAUUAGCGUCACCUUUGAGCCAAAUUCGCAAGAGCUGGGAGCGGAAAUGGAACUGCGCUCUGGGGAAGAAUCUUGUUUCUUUGUAUGCAAUUCUUGAUGGGUAAAUGCCCAGAUCAGUGCAAGCCUGAUUGUACUACCUGUUGAGCCUGUGAAAGAGGAAUUGAGUUGUUACUUGCAUUCCCAUAUUAUUGGGAUGGAAGAUCAUAGAUUCCCAUGAGGUUAAGGGGUCUCUCUUUCCAAUCGCCAUGGAAUGGCGGAUGGAUGUUGUGUGACACUCCAUCCCCUAGUUUGUUAGCCAUUGCCAUGUUAGACACCAUGUUCUGUUUCUUUGGUGAUUGUUGCCAGUUGGUCCUCAUUGUGGGCUUUGAGCACCUCAUGACAAUGAAAGACUGACAAGAACGGAAACAAAAUGUUAGUCAAGAGAAAAAUCAUAAAAAGAAACAUUUGGGUAAUACAGAACACCAUGAUGAGAGAGAGAGAGAGAGAGAGAGAGAGAGAGAGAGAGAGAGAGAGACUUUGUGGGCCAUAAUAUCGUGAUAAUGUGGUAGUUGUCUAAAGUCUCUCAAGAGUAAGAGCAAACCUAUUGUUUGUUGCAUUAAAACAGAGCUAUUGAUUGAUAAGCUUGUCAAUCUGAUUGCUGUUUCGUAAUAUUUCCUUAUCAUUUUUUAAAUUUUUUUGAGAUUAUAGCUAAAGGAUGAGUAAUUUUUGGAGUGAUUUUUUUGGAGAUGACUAUUUAUGAACGCAACCUCUGUACACGAAAGAACUGGUGAUUUCAUUAAAAGUUGUAAAUAAAAGAUGAAACAAAAAGCAGGGCUAUUUUCUCUUGUUUACCAGACUCAAGGAGAUUGGCAACAAUAACAGGCUUGAUUAGUUUUAUAGGUUCUCUCUAGUUGGCACAAGAAUGGUGGAAAGUUGGAAAAUACAUUCUGCGGUUGUUAAACCAAAUUUAAGGUCAAGAAUUCAACGAUGCAGACUUCAGAUAGUCAUUUUCUGAAUUAAUAGGUCAUCAAUGGAGGAUUGACCAUUCUAAGAAGGCUUCUGCUGCUUCUGCUUCUUUCUCUCUCUGCGCGAUUGCUUCAUGUGUGUGAGAGUGUCUUUGUGUGCUUGUGUUAUGGUUGUGAAAACAAUCUUAUAAGGUUCUUAUUUUUGUUUAUUUGGUCAUGGAUGC